RNAcentral lists this small nucleolar RNA (81 nucleotides) under Zea mays. RNAcentral describes it as "Small nucleolar RNA R160". It matches the Rfam family "Small nucleolar RNA R160". From Rfam's summary of the family: snoR160 is a C/D box small nucleolar RNA, which acts as a methylation guide for 25S ribosomal RNA in plants. snoR160 has been alternatively named snoZ270 in rice. The record is from Rfam by way of RNAcentral. Lineage: Eukaryota; Viridiplantae; Streptophyta; Magnoliopsida; Poales; Poaceae.
AGUAAAAUGAAGAGGUUUUAUAAUCUGAAACUAUCUGAUGUUGAUACAUACAUUCAUGGUCUUCAAAGUUCUCUGAUUGCU